Molecule: ribosomal RNA, 819 nt
Filed under: Gaeumannomyces oryzinus
Lineage: Eukaryota; Fungi; Ascomycota; Sordariomycetes; Magnaporthales; Magnaporthaceae
Description: eukaryotic LSU rRNA
Rfam family: Eukaryotic large subunit ribosomal RNA
Source: RNAcentral
AUAUCAAUAAGCGGAGGAAAAGAAACCAACAGGGAUUGCCCUAGUAACGGCGAGUGAAGCGGCAACAGCUCAAAUUUGAAAUCUGGCCCUAGGCCCGAGUUGUAAUUUGCAGAGGAUGCUUUUGGCAAAGCGCUUACCGAGUCCCCUGGAACGGGGCGCCACAGAGGGUGAGAGCCCCGUAUGGUAUGACGCCGAGCCUCUGUAAAGCUCCUUCGACGAGUCGAGUAGUUUGGGAAUGCUGCUCUAAAUGGGAGGUAAAUUUCUUCUAAAGCUAAAUACCGGCCAGAGACCGAUAGCGCACAAGUAGAGUGAUCGAAAGAUGAAAAGCACUUUGAAAAGAGGGUUAAAUAGCACGUGAAAUUGUUGAAAGGGAAGCGCUCGUGACCAGACUUGCGCCGGGCGGAUCAUCUAGCGUUCUCGCUGGUGCACUCCGCCCGGCUCAGGCCAGCAUCGGUUUUCGCCGGGGGACAAAAGCUUCGGGAACGUGGCUCCCUUCGGGGAGUGUUAUAGCCCGUUGUUUAAUACCCCGGCGGGGACCGAGGACCGCGCUUCGGCAAGGAUGCUGGCGUAAUGGUCAUCAGCGACCCGUCUUGAAACACGGACCGAGGAGUCAAGCAUUAGUGCGAGUGUUUGGGUGUAAAACCCGCACGCGUAAUGAAAGUGAACGUAGGUGAGAGCUUCGGCGCAUCAUCGACCGAUCCUGAUGUUUUCGGAUGGAUUUGAGUAGGAGCAUUAACGCUUGGACCCGAAAGAUGGUGAACUAUACUUGAAUAGGGUGAAGCCAGAGGAAACUCUGGUGGAGGCUCGCAGCGGUUCUGA